Molecule: long non-coding RNA, 1022 nt
Organism: Hydra vulgaris (swiftwater hydra)
Lineage: Eukaryota; Metazoa; Cnidaria; Hydrozoa; Anthoathecata; Hydridae
Source: RefSeq, a predicted model, not a curated record
AACGUUAUUGCAUUAAAAAUUAAAUAAAAAAUCAACUAUUUUCGGAAUUGGUAUAAUAACAUCAGAUAAAGUAAAAACUUAUAAACUGGAUUGCAGGCGUUAACAUAACUCCAAAGUAGGAACCACUACCAUUCUUAUGCAAGAGAAAAAAUAAUCCAACCAAAAAUAACCAACAGAUUAGUAAGCAAGUACUUACUCCUUUAACGCAAAAAAAGAUAAACAAAACAACUUUUAUGCAUACAAAGCACAAGGUAUUGAUUGUCUAUGCAUACAAAGCUCAAGGUAUUGAUUGUCUGUCUGCAAAUUGUUUUAGGAAGAAAAGAUUCAAAUGUUUUUUUUCAAUGCUUCAGUAGUUUACACAUUUUAUUUGUUGCUAAAUAAUAUAUUUUAUUCAUUUUAUGAGUGUUUUAAAAUUAUUUUUUUAUUGUUGACUUUUUUUUUGACAUUGCUGAUCUAAAUAUCUUAAAGAUAUUUAGAUCAGCAAUGACAAGAUUUUCCUGAGGAAGGAGAGGAUUUUUAUAUAGUCCAAAUCCAAGAUGGUGCAUGUGUUUUUCCGCAGAAAAGAAAAAAGUUGUUUUGCCUCAUAAGAAAAGCUACUAAAAAAGAUUCCUCAUCAAAUGGAAAGUCUUCCAUUACGGAGGAAGAAUAUAUAAUAGAAUUUCAGAAGAAAGUUUUAUAUGCACUGGUAGAAAUGAUAAAGAUGGAUUAUGAUAACAGUUUAAACGGGUGUUGUCUGAAAUGAGAGCGUCAUGUCAAUUAAAGCGACUACUACAGUUGCCGAAAUAAGAAAAGGAAUAAUGACUUUAUUAAAAUACGCAUUUGACAGAUCGAAUGGUGGUGGUUAGCGCGUGAAAGGCGAUUCACUAGAUGUAUAACAUUUUUUCCUAAUUGUUCUGGACUAUUGUUGAAUAAAACAUUUUUUUUUAAACAUUUUACUCUAUUUGCAUUGUGUGUAAAGUCCCUUAAAGCAACUUAAUUGUAUCUGAUUAAUUUACUUGAAAUAAAAUAUUCUUUGUGCAGAA